This 551-nucleotide long non-coding RNA is filed under the name Monodelphis domestica (gray short-tailed opossum). RNAcentral describes it as "lncRNA (ENSMODG00000034069.2)". The record is from RNAcentral. Lineage: Eukaryota; Metazoa; Chordata; Mammalia; Didelphimorphia; Didelphidae.
AAUAAGUUUCAUCUUCCUCAAAAUGGUGCCCAGGGCUGGUUCCAUCCUCCUGACACUCACUAGUAGGAGAGCUGAAAACCGCGGACAGGGAUGCUCAUGGCCUCAGAACCCUUUGACUUUGUCCAGUGGAGGGGAUGGGACAAGCCCGUGACCAUUCCUUACUCUGGCAGCCUCCGACAGCCUGACACUCCUAUUAGCCCAGGGGAGUAAACAGACCCACAGCUGUCUAUAAAAAGCCGGAAACAGUUCUGUUUCCAUUCAAGGUGGAUGACUGGGGGGUGCGUGGGAGGGGGCGAGGACCGCUACAUCUGGGCGAGGGCGGAGAUGAUCUGCUGCCUCUGACGCUUCUGUUGUUAUCCCGAAGAAGGGCUUUCUUCAUCCUAGAGACUCGGGUUCUUUGUUUCCUGUGGCAGAGCUCUGCUCCUGACUCCUUGGACUUCUACCCACAAUGUCUCAUCUGCCUUCUCACCCUGGAAGAACCCUCUGCCCUUACAGCUUUCCCCUCCCACUGUGGCCAAGAACUGAAUACUACUGGGGUGCCCAUCAUUUAG